CUACGGGACGCACCAGUGGGGAAUAUUGGGCAAUGGGCGCAAGCCUGACCCAGCAACGCCGCGUGAGGGAAGAAGGUUUUCGGAUUGUAAACCUCUGUCCUUGGGGACGAAGAAGUGACGGUACCCAAGGAGGAAGCUCCGGCUAACUACGUGCCAGCAGCCGCGGGAAUACGUAGGGAGCAAGCGUUGUCCGGAAUUACUGGGCGUAAAGGGUGCGUAGGCGGCAUAUUAAGUCAGGUGUGAAAUACUCGGGCUCAACCCGGGGGCUGCAUUUGAAACUGAUAUGCUUGAGUGUGAGAGAGGAAAGUGGAAUUCCUAGUGUAGCGGUAGAAUGCGUAGAUAUUAGGAGGAACACCAGUGGCGAAGGCGACUUUCUGGCUCAUAACUGACGCUGAGGCACGAAAGCGUGGGGAGCAAACAGGAUUAGAUACCCCAGUAGUC
This 441-nucleotide ribosomal RNA is filed under the name uncultured bacterium. RNAcentral describes it as "partial 16S ribosomal RNA". It matches the Rfam family "Bacterial small subunit ribosomal RNA", at positions 339 to 795 of the family's 1533-position model. The record is from RNAcentral.